RNAcentral lists this transfer RNA (72 nucleotides) under Simkania sp. It matches the Rfam family "tRNA". Rfam says of the family: Transfer RNA (tRNA) molecules are approximately 80 nucleotides in length. Their secondary structure includes four short double-helical elements and three loops (D, anti-codon, and T loops). RNAcentral also lists the same sequence under 1 other name. The record is from Rfam by way of RNAcentral. Lineage: Bacteria; Pseudomonadati; Chlamydiota; Chlamydiia; Parachlamydiales; Simkaniaceae.
UGGGGUGUCGCCAAGUGGUAAGGCAGCGGUUUUUGGUACCGCCAUUCGGAGGUUCGAGUCCUUCCACCCCAA